GGUCGGGUGGUGUAGUUGGUUAUGUAAGUUCCCACCUCUUCCAAUACAACUGAUUUGAGUUUGGCAAAGACUAAUAUGAAUGCAGCACAUCUCGUUAACAGUUUACUGUGACAUAUUCCGAGAAGGUCCUGGGAUCGAGCCCCAGCCUGAUCA
Molecule: transfer RNA, 153 nt
Filed under: Cadophora sp. DSE1049
Lineage: Eukaryota; Fungi; Ascomycota; Leotiomycetes; Helotiales; Ploettnerulaceae
Description: tRNA-OTHER
Source: RNAcentral